AAGUCGGAAUCGCUAGUAAUCGUGGAUCAGAAUGCCACGGUGAAUACGUUCCCGGGCCUUGUACACACCGCCCGUCACACCAUGGGAGUGGGCUGCAAAAGAAGUAGGUAGUUUAACCUUCGGGGGGACGCUUACCACUUUGUGGUUCAUGACUGGGGUGAAGUCGUAACAAGGUAGCGCUAGGGGAACCUGGCGCUGGAUCACCUCCUUA
RNAcentral lists this ribosomal RNA (211 nucleotides) under Vibrio parahaemolyticus. RNAcentral's name for it is "partial 16S ribosomal RNA". It matches the Rfam family "Bacterial small subunit ribosomal RNA", at positions 1323 to 1533 of the family's 1533-position model. The record is from RNAcentral. Lineage: Bacteria; Pseudomonadati; Pseudomonadota; Gammaproteobacteria; Vibrionales; Vibrionaceae. RNAcentral also lists the same sequence under 1 other name.